RNAcentral lists this ribosomal RNA (250 nucleotides) under uncultured bacterium. RNAcentral's name for it is "partial 16S ribosomal RNA". It matches the Rfam family "Bacterial small subunit ribosomal RNA", at positions 525 to 774 of the family's 1533-position model. The record is from RNAcentral.
ACGUAGGGGGCGAGCGUUGUCCGGAUUUAUUGGGCGUAAAGAGCGUGUAGGCGGCCUGUCAAGUCUGAUGUGAAAUCUUGCGGCUUAACCGCAAGCCUGCAUUGGAAACUGACAGGCUAGAGUCUGGAUGAGGAAGGUGGAAUUCCUGGUGUAGCGGUGAAAUGCGCAGAUAUCAGGAGGAACACCGGUGGCGAAGGCGGCCUUCUGGGACAGUACUGACGCUGAGACGCGAAAGCGUGGGGAGCAAACA